CACGUAGGGCGCAAGCGUUGUCCGGAAUUAUUGGGCGUAAAGAGCUCGUAGGCGGCCUGCUGCGUCCGCUGUGAAAGCCCGGGGCUUAACCCCGGGUCUGCAGUGGAUACGGGCAGGCUAGAGGUAGGUAGGGGAGAAUGGAAUUCCCGGUGUAGCGGUGAAAUGCGCAGAUAUCGGGAGGAACACCGGUGGCGAAGGCGGUUCUCUGGGCCUUACCUGACGCUGAGGAGCGAAAGCGUGGGGAGCGAACAGG
RNAcentral lists this ribosomal RNA (253 nucleotides) under uncultured bacterium. RNAcentral's name for it is "partial 16S ribosomal RNA". It matches the Rfam family "Bacterial small subunit ribosomal RNA", at positions 524 to 776 of the family's 1533-position model. The record is from RNAcentral.